AGUGAACGCUGGCGGUAGGCCUAACACAUGCAAGUCGAACGGCAGCACAGUAAGAGCUUGCUCUUACGGGUGGCGAGUGGCGGACGGGUGAGGAAUACAUCGGAAUCUACUUUUUCGUGGGGGAUAACGUAGGGAAGCUUACGCUAAUACCGCAUACGACCUACGGGUGAAAGCAGGGGAUCUUCGGACCUUGCGCGAUUGAAUGAGCCGAUGUCGGAUUAGCUAGUUGGCGGGGUAACGGCCCACCAAGGCGCCGAUCCGUAGCUGGUCUGAGAGGAUGAUCAGCCACACUGGAACUGAGACACGGUCCAGACUCCUACGGGAGGCAGCAGUGGGGAAUAUUGGACAAAGGGCGCAAGCCUGAUCCAGCCAUACCGCGUGGGUGAAGAAGGCCUUCGGGUUGUAAAGCCCUUUUGUUGGGAAAGAAAGCAGCAGGUUAAUACCCCGCUGUUCUGACGGUACCCAAAGAAUAAGCACCGGCUAACUUCGUG
RNAcentral lists this ribosomal RNA (491 nucleotides) under uncultured bacterium. RNAcentral describes it as "partial 16S ribosomal RNA". It matches the Rfam family "Bacterial small subunit ribosomal RNA", at positions 29 to 507 of the family's 1533-position model. The record is from RNAcentral.